AAAGGGCAAGAGAGUAAAUUUUAAAUUUGUUAGGCAGACAUUCUAUGUUGCAACUACUCACCUCUGUCCUAAUAGAGAGAAAGCAACCAUACACAAUAUACAAAUGAGUGGAUGUGGCUAGGAUGCAAUAAAGUUUUAUUUAUAAAAAGAGGCUCCCCCACACACACACAGAAAUGUAAUAAAAUAAUAUGCUGGAAUUCUUAGCUGUUUUGGUGUUGGUUUUUCACCAUUCCUUUUAUGUACAUGUAUGUCAUUAUAGUAAUGUUUUUAGUUUUAUUUCUCUGACACAUCUUUCUUGUCCCUUGAUUUAUUAUAUUUUUGAGCCUAUCAGCUCCCCUAGGAUUAUGUCUUUAUAAUCACUUGGUUCAUAGGCCGUCCAACUGUGUUUGUCCCACAGUGUUUUAGCAUAAUUGCUUUUUUUCAUACUGAGACUUUGAGAAAAUACUGGCUGCUUGAGGGUUUCUAUUUGGUAAGGAAGAAUUUGGUUGCAGAGUUUAUUAAGUAAUGAUGAAUGAGUUAAAAAGAGCAUUGUGCAUUCCAUUAAGAUGGAAUAAGCACCUUGCUAAGUGCAACUAGAGACUCUGGACAGAAUGCAUGAAUUAGCUAUCUGAGGACCCUGAGAAGUAAAUGUUAGCAGGUGAGUGGAAGAAGGAAAUCAGAAUUCAAAAUAGCAUGAAAACAACCAUGAUUUUCUGUCUCCCGCCCCCAAUCUCUUGAGGUGAUCUCAAAGGUGUCCAGAAACCCAGAACUGCACACCAGGUGCAAAUAAAGAGAUCCAAAAAGUUCUCUUUUUCUUGUCUGUAAAGAUAGAAAGGGGGCCCCUUUAGGUCAGAGAGAGUGGAGGGAAAUCCCUUUUUGGUUUUGGUUUUGUUUUUUCUUCUCCAGCCACUGCUCAGGCAGUUCUGUAGUAAUCGUGGCCAGGCAGAUGCCUGAACUCCAAGGGAAAAGAGGACCUUUUUUUUUGACCAGAGAAACUGUGUGGUCCCAAGAUGGAAUAGCAUCAGGGAUAUAUCCCUGUUCUUUUCGCUCUUUGUCGUCUCCCCCAUUUGCCUGGAGAGAUAGAGACAAUCACAGGCAGUCUGCUGCAGAGUGGGAAAACUAAAGCCUUGGCUUUCUAGCCAUGAGACCAGAAAUCCCCACCUCUGAGCCAGAAAUUGUCAGCAGUUAUGGAGAAGAGAGAGUUGAAUAAAAUGAAUGCCAUUAAGAACACCCCUGGGCUGCUCAUGUAUGGCUCUGGCCCUAAACAGAAUAUCAACGGCUUUGCAAACUGAUAGCUCACCUCCCAGUCCAGACUGGCCACUCUGUAGGACAGAUCUGAAUACCAUGGCAUGCAUAAUAUCCUUUCCUAACUAAACUGAAACCAGAACAUAACCCAAAAGUUGGGUAAGAACUUGAAGACUGAACCUUAAACAUUUCAGUUGCCUGCUAAAACAAGUUUUAAAAAUCAACAUGCUCUGUAGGAUUUUUAAAUAAGAUUUUAAAUUAUAUAACGUGAUCAAAAUGUCCAGGCUGCAGUCAUAAGUUACUCAAUAAUGCAAAUGACCAAGAAAUUCUCAGUAUCUCUCAAUGGAAGAUAAUCAACAGACACUACCAGCCUUGAAGUGAUACAGAUCAAGAUUCCAAGGCAGCUGUCAUAACCAUUCUAUAAGAAGUAAGAGUGAACACUCUUACAAUGAAAGGAGGCCUUAGGAGAGAGAUAGAAUAUGGAACUUAAAAUAUAUGAAAAGUAACUACUGGAAUAAAGGUUUAUUGGACGGGCUUUAGUAGAAUGGAAAUGACAGAUAAGUGAAUGAGCUUAAAGAUCUAUCUAGGAAUUACCUGCUCAGCAAGAGAGGAAAAGUACUGUGGGGUGGAGAGAAUGAACAGAACCUGAGGGGCCUGUGUCAGCAGAUUCCAGGAAAGAGGGGAGUGUUACAUAAAAAAUAUUUAAGAAAACAGUCCACAUCUAUGUUCAUUAUAAUGAAUAGGUUCUAUAGCAGCUAAGUUUUUGGCAGUGAAAUGAGUAAGCUUCAUUUAUGUAGAUUAAAAUAAGAUGGCAUUUAAGUAGAAUGUAUACCUAUAGUUGGCUGACAGGAUAAUUCUGUCAAAUGAAUCUUUAUUUUUUCAAGGUGUACAUUCUAAAUACAAGAAUUAUUGCAGUGACCAAUUUAAAACAAAACAAAGGAUUAUGUGACAGUAAUCUAGGUUUUUAAAAUUUAGGGGUGUUCAUGAUUUUCCAGCAGGUCCUUUAAGAUCUAAUUAGAAUAGUUAUUGCCAGAUUCAACAAGUAUUGGAAAGCCUGCUACAAACUAGACUAGUAGGCACAGUCCCCGACUACAUGGAAUGACUAGCGGAAUUGAUGUGAAUACCAAAAUAGCUACACAAAUAAAAUACUUUAAAAGACAAGUCUUCUGAGCUUUAAAACAUUUUAAUGACAGAUUUGAUCUGGUAGGGUUAGUGUGCUAACGAGCUGGAGGAGGGGAGUUGGGGACAAGGGUUCUAGGUAGGAUGAAAUCCAUUCCAACAGUAUCCACAACAAAGUGCAUUUUUCUUUUUUUGACAAUGCUUCUCGACUUUUAACUUGCUUUUCUUUACUCAUUUAACUAGCGAAAGGUAAUGGUUUUCCUGGGUUUAUGAGCCUCUUGAAUGUCUUCUGUAUGCGGCUUAUUCACAGUAUUUUAUCUAUUUGUCUUUUUCUUAAUUUCUAUGUUUCUGGUUUGCUUUUUAAAUUGUGUUUUGUAUAUAGCAAAAUGUUUUGCGUUAUUUAGUGGAUGUCAGUAUAGACAGA
Molecule: long non-coding RNA, 2767 nt
Organism: Phyllostomus discolor (pale spear-nosed bat)
Lineage: Eukaryota; Metazoa; Chordata; Mammalia; Chiroptera; Phyllostomidae
Exons: 2
Source: RefSeq, a predicted model, not a curated record